RNAcentral lists this small nuclear RNA (282 nucleotides) under Octodon degus (degu). Its description in RNAcentral is "7SK RNA (ENSODEG00000023632.1)". It matches the Rfam family "7SK RNA". From Rfam's summary of the family: 7SK was discovered as an abundant small nuclear RNA in the mid-70s but a possible function has only recently been suggested. Lineage: Eukaryota; Metazoa; Chordata; Mammalia; Rodentia; Octodontidae. The record is from Rfam by way of RNAcentral.
GGAUGUGAGGGCGAUCUGGCUGUAACAUCUGUCACCCCAUGGAUUGCUAGGUUUGAUUCAGCUGAUCUGGCUGGCUAGAGGGGUGUUCUUGCCCUCUCUCAAUGCAUCCCUUUCCAAAGCUGUGAACUCAGUCGAAGAAGACAUCCACCCUAGAUAGAAGACUGUUCCUUGGUCAAGGGUAUACCAGUAGCUGUGUUCCUCUGCUAGAACCUCCAAACAAGCGCUGAAGAGUGUAGUCCCAAGGUGCGUUCAUUUACCUAGAAAUGUCUCAAGUGUAUCCUU